This 65-nucleotide small nucleolar RNA is filed under the name Pyrobaculum aerophilum str. IM2. Its description in RNAcentral is "Pyrobaculum sRNA 209". It matches the Rfam family "Pyrobaculum sRNA 209". From Rfam's summary of the family: Non canonical pseudouridylation guide sRNA features. Predicted to target 16S U8 in Pyrobaculum. The record is from Rfam by way of RNAcentral. Lineage: Archaea; Thermoproteati; Thermoproteota; Thermoprotei; Thermoproteales; Thermoproteaceae.
GGCAGGAUCAGCCCCAGAGCCGGCCGGACGGCCGCCUGUGAUAGGGGCCCCGGUCAAAACCUCUG